UACGGAGGGUCCGAGCGUUAUCCGGAAUUAUUGGGUUUAAAGGGUCCGUAGGCGGGCUAUUAAGUCAGGGGUGAAAGUUUGCAGCUCAACUGUAAAAUUGCCUUUGAUACUGGUAGUCUUGAGUUGUAUUGAAGUGGCUGGAAUAUGUAGUGUAGCGGUGAAAUGCAUAGAUAUUACAUAGAACACCGAUUGCGAAGGCAGGUCACUAAGUACACACUGACGCUGAUGGACGAAAGCGUGGGGAGCGAACAGG
Molecule: ribosomal RNA, 253 nt
Filed under: uncultured bacterium
Lineage: Bacteria
Description: partial 16S ribosomal RNA
Rfam family: Bacterial small subunit ribosomal RNA
Source: RNAcentral